GCGGUUCUAGCCCAACCGGGAGAGGCACUUGGUCGAGGGCCAAGCCAGUCGGGGUUCGACUCCCCGGAACCGCA
Molecule: transfer RNA, 74 nt
Filed under: Labedaea rhizosphaerae
Lineage: Bacteria; Bacillati; Actinomycetota; Actinomycetes; Pseudonocardiales; Pseudonocardiaceae
Description: Labedella sp. RS-49 tRNA
Source: Rfam by way of RNAcentral